CCCCAGCGCCACAAGUGGCAAUCGCAUUUAUUGGGCCUAAAGCGUUCGUAGCCGGUUUAGUAAGUUCUGGGUGAAAUCGUUCUGCUCAACAGGACGGCGUGCUUGGAGUACUGCUAGACUUGAGACCGGAGAAGAGUCAGGAGUAUGUCGGGGGGAACGGUAAAAUGUUAUAAUCCUCGAUGGACUACCUGUGGCGAAGGCGCCUGACUAGAACGGGUCUGACGGUGAGGGACGAAAGCUAGGGGAGCAAACGGGAUUAGAUACCCCAGUAGUCCUAGCUGUAAACGCUGUGAACUAGAUGUUGCGCAUUCUAUAUGAAUGCGCAGUGUCGGAGCGAAGGUGUUAAGUUCACCGCCUGGGAAGUACGGUCGCAAGGCUGAAACUUAAAGGAAUUGGCGGGGGAGCACCACAAGGGGUGCGGCGUGCGGUUUAAUCUAAUUCAACGCAGAGAAUCUCACCAGAAGCGACGGCAGGAUGAAGGUCAGAUUAAAGGUCUUACCUGACGAGCCGAGAGGUAGUGCAUGGCCGUCGUCAGCUCGUACCGUGAGGUGUCCAGUUAAGUCUGGCAACGAGCGAGACCUAUACCUAUAAUUGCUAACGGGUUCUUUAGAAUGUCUGAGCACAUUAUGGGGACUGCCUUGGAAACAAGGAGGAAGGUGUAGGCAACGGUAGGUCUGUACGCUCCGAAUCUUCUGGGCUACACGCGCGCAACAAUGGUAGGCACAAUGGGAUGCGACUCCGAAAGGAGAAGCCAAUCCUCGAAAUCCUAUCUUAGUCUAGAUUGAGGGCUGUAAUUCGCCCUCAUGACAACGGAAUCCCUAGUAAUCGUAGUUCAUCACACUACGGUGAAUAUGUCCCUGCUCCU
This 865-nucleotide ribosomal RNA is filed under the name uncultured archaeon. Its description in RNAcentral is "SSU rRNA". It matches the Rfam family "Archaeal small subunit ribosomal RNA", at positions 474 to 1337 of the family's 1478-position model. The record is from RNAcentral.